UUAACUAUUAUAUAGUACUCAGACAUCACUAAUAAAAGAGUUUGGGUCCUCUGGCGGGCACGAUCGGCCGGAGCCAACGCCUAAACGGACGGCCCGCCAAAGCAACAAAGGUAAACAAAGUACAGGGUGUAUAAUAUCUCCCUUCGCAGCCCGCUGCAAGCAGCGGACCGGUCCGGUUCAUAUUUUUAAUGAUCCUUCCGCAGGUUCACCUACGGAAA
Molecule: unclassified non-coding RNA, 218 nt
Filed under: uncultured fungus
Lineage: Eukaryota; Fungi
Description: sequence contains ITS1
Source: RNAcentral